This 253-nucleotide ribosomal RNA is filed under the name uncultured bacterium. RNAcentral's name for it is "partial 16S ribosomal RNA". It matches the Rfam family "Bacterial small subunit ribosomal RNA", at positions 524 to 776 of the family's 1533-position model. The record is from RNAcentral.
UACGGAGGGUGCAAGCGUUAUCCGGAUUCACUGGGUUUAAAGGGUGCGUAGGUGGGCAGGUAAGUCAGUGGUGAAAUCUUUGGGCUUAACCCGAAAACUGCCAUUGAUACUAUUUGUCUUGAAUAUUGUGGAGGUCAGCGGAAUAUGUCAUGUAGCGGUGAAAUGCUUAGAUAUGACAUAGAACACCAAUUGCGAAGGCAGCUGGCUACUCAUAUAUUGACACUGAUGCACGAAAGCGUGGGGAUCAAACAGG